This 2043-nucleotide long non-coding RNA is filed under the name Mus musculus (house mouse). RNAcentral describes it as "predicted gene 10768 (Gm10768)". Lineage: Eukaryota; Metazoa; Chordata; Mammalia; Rodentia; Muridae. The record is from RNAcentral.
GAUUUAUUUUAUAAUUUUUAAUUUUAAUAAUUGAGUUAUUUUUAAUUUUUAACAAGAUUUAUUUUAUUCUAUGAAUGUUUUACCUGCACGCACAUAUGUGUAUCAUAUGCUCAGAAGUCAGAAGAGGGCUUUAGAUCCCCCUGGAACUGGAGUUACAGGCAGUUGUGAGCCACCUUGUGGGUCCUGGAAUUGAACUUGAGCCCUCUGCAAGAACAAGUGCUCUUAACCUUGGUGCCAUUUCUCCAGCCCCCUCAUGUAUUAUUGUGAUGUCAUAUUUCUUUGUAUGAUAUCUCAGCUUUUACUGUGAGCUUUUUACUUCCCUUACAAUCUGAUCUGAGACUGUUCUUUGAGGUUGGAGUUAAACCCAAAUUCGUCCUAAGAGAAAAUGUGAAGGCUUCUGCCAACAACCUGGGAUAUCACCCAGGCCUCUUGGGACUAAACUCUCCACUAAGAGUCCAAAGCAGGCGGUUCAGGCAGCUUCAGGGCACAAUCAUAAAAGACCUGGUUUGUGACUUACAAGUCUCAGGGAGAGUCCCCACUUAAAUAGGUAGCACUGGACAUGGGUUUUUGUGGCUGUGGUUAACAUCUGAAUUCUAUGUUCCUCAUUUACCUGGCCAUUUCAAAAGUAGCCUUUCAAGACUCAGGGUUAUCAAAGGAGUCUGUACAGGUUUGUUUAUCUUGGCUUUCUCUUAACUGGUGUCCUAUAUUAUUGACAGAGGUAGAUUUUUAAGCUCUCAGGGUUUGGAAACCUGCCUGCCUUUGCCCCAACCUCACAGCUCCUCUUUUGGAUUGUGCUGGAGGGUCACUGUAGUCUUCCAUUUGAGGCUGUAAUUAUGAAGACUUGAAUCUAUCCAGCACUUCGUAUUUAGUGAGGUUCUCAGAGGGAGAGAGUAUAGCUAACGUAGGCUACCCUCUCUCGCUUGCCCUGGCGGUGACCAGUUGCAUUGGUUAUCCAAAUCGUAACUCCCCCCCCCCACCCCACCCCCAAAAGUUGUCCAGAUUAGAUAACAGUGUUUCCAUUUCCAGCUCCGGAACCGUGGCCAACACAGUUAUAUAGGUAUUAACCUGUUGCCUUAAGGAAGACCUUCCCUUCCCUGACUCUGCAGAUUGGAUACAUUGUAAAUAGUUCACAAUUAGUGGCCAAUUUUCAAAGCUAGCUUUUGAAAUGUUACCAAGGUAUAAUUGCAAAUUAGUAGAUAUGAAUCUAACACUCUAUAGUUUGAAAAAAUGCCCAUUGUCCUACAUACUCGGAAAGAACAAUUAAACAUGGCAUGUCUUGCAUGAGGUACCUCCCAUUUUUUGUAGCAGGGGAGGACAUUUGAAGAUUGAUUCAUACAGUCCUGUACCUCUAACGCUCUGUCAGAACUAUGUUGUGGCUUUAACUCUGCUACUCAGGUUUGCUCUUUUUCUUGCUCCCCCUCCCUCGCCAAUCUUGGUUGCUCCCUUUCUCUGCCAUCAGCAUCCUUUAUCCCUCUUCCUCAGCCCAAUUUCUUUUUCACUUCUGGAUAAUCAGUUAAGUAAUAGAAUUUUCUUGUUCUAUACUUUAAAAAAACAAACAAACAAAAACCACCUUAUUUUCUUCUCAAGUACAUUCUAAAUCCGUACAAUCCUCUAGUUUGCUUCUUAAAACGCGUUUCUAGAUACACAACAUUUGGAGAACCAAGAAGAACUUUGGAAACCAGAGGAGCAGUUUACAUCUACUGAGCCGUCACUGCCCAACCAGAGCUGUGCACUGGAAUAAAGCAUCAAGGAGGAAGGAGGAGGCCCUAUCCACCUCCCAUUUACAUCCCAAACUAAUCAGCCCAGGCUGGUCUUUGUAUUAUUAUCAUUAGAGAACUUAGAUUUACAGCCAGUUCUAUUUAUCUAUUUAUCUAUUAAAUGUCUAACAUUUAAAAAGUCAUUUAAUGUAAAUAAAACUAUUUAUUUAAAUAAACAUCCAAUUCCGUUGUGUUGUCAGUUAAUCCUCCCCUCACGAAGUUCUUAGUUUAGCAAAUUCAUUUCUGGGACUAUUUUAGAUAAGUAUGGAGGACUAGAAAUCCCUAU